CGGCACCUCAAGUGGUCAGGAUGAUUAUUGGGCCUAAAGCAUCCGUAGCCGGCGCUGUAAGUUUUCGGUUAAAUCUGUACGCUCAACGUACAGGCUGCCGGGAAUACUGCAGCGCUAGGGAGUGGGAGAGGUAGACGGUACUCGGUAGGAAGGGGUAAAAUCCUUUGAUCUAUUGAUGACCACCUGUGGCGAAGGCGGUCUACCAGAACACGUCCGACGGUGAGGGAUGAAAGCUGGGGGAGCAAACCGGAUUAGAUACCCGCGUAGUCC
RNAcentral lists this ribosomal RNA (270 nucleotides) under uncultured archaeon. RNAcentral's name for it is "partial 16S ribosomal RNA". It matches the Rfam family "Archaeal small subunit ribosomal RNA", at positions 477 to 747 of the family's 1478-position model. The record is from RNAcentral.